AAAAUAAAACUUUCAGGUUGCCCUACUUGUUUGCCUAUAAAGGCAUUGCAUUCUUGCCUUGCAGGGGGGGAGAGAGAUGAAAAAGAGCUGAAAAAUCCUAAAAAACUCUAGAUGGCUAGAACAUCAAAAACACUGGUUCAUUGAGUCUUAUUCUUGAUUUUCUGAAGUUUUCUCCUACUGCUAAAAUAAUUUUGGGUAGCUGGUAGCUAAAAUAAAUUGAAAUCAAGUCUAGUUUGAAGUCUUCUGGUUUGUUGAUGGGUUUUGAAGUUAUUUAGGCUGUUUGCAUCAUUAUCUGGGUUAAAACUAGAUGCAUUUCUGCUGCUGCCGUUUCUUUGCUCUCACUGCCUUUUUUUUGUUUUAUGCUCAAAUUCCAGGUAUUUUUUUCCUGAACUCUAGAGAUGUAAUCUGCAGUUUUUAAGAAUAAAUAACAGCUGAAAGCAUGACUUAGACUCCUCUGUCUUAUCUAUAGUCUUCAUGAUGCAUAUGCUAUUUAUUCACAUGGAUCAUCGCAUACUUAGCUAGGCUCUUAUGUUCUGUAUUUGCUUGAGGAUUAUGAUUUUAUUGUAUUUAAGGCUUAGUCAAGUUUAAUGUAUUUAAAUGUGUUGGGUCAAAUAGCAUACGUAAUCAUUCUUGGGAAUGAAUUCAUAACUGGAUUGAUGUUGGGGAGGCUGAGGCUUAAAUGUUGAUAUGGGGGUGUGUGUGUGUCAAUCGAACUUUGUGAUUUGUUUAGAUAUACUGGCUUGGUAGUGCAUGAAUCAGGAAGUCAAUAUCUGUGUUUAAAUUAGGUUGAAAUUCUCCUUAGUAUGUGAUGAAUGAAUCACGAUUCUCUAGUUAAAGUUUUCUCUAUGAUUUUUUUUAGUUUUCUGUAGCUCAAGUGGACAUCACUAUGUGUUAUUUAAAAUGAACUUGAUUAUGUUUGGUUAAUUUGUGCCAAACAGUUUAAAUCAGCAAUUCAAAUCUUUUAAUCUCAUGUUCAUGUGUUGGUAUCAAUUUAUAUUUGUGUUGUUAUAUCCUGAUCUGAACCAUUUGGACCAUAAGAAUUGGGCCCAACAUCGGCCCAGUUGCAUAACAAAUGGGUCAGGCUAUCAUUUAUACCUAUCUUGGUUCACUGAAUGUUUGUACUGUUGAAUUUUGAUAGUUCUGGCCUAUAGAGACUUGAUAUGGAGUCCCUCGUUUAAGCUUCAUGAAGCUUCAAAUUUGGGCCCAUUGCUGGGCCCAAGCUUGACAUUCUCCCUCGAGAGUAAUCGGGCGUUGCUUUUCUAUUGGACUUCAUGUUAACCAAUGUCAUUUUACCAUUUACUGAUUUGUAGAGGUUAAAAUAUUUGGUUUAUUUAGACGGAAUUCCAAUCACUGUAAGUAUUUUGUUAAUUAAAUAAGUCCUUUUAAAUAAGUGUGGAGGUGUUCCAAAUAGAUAAUAAUAGUUGAUGGCCCUCCCGAAUUUUAGUUUGAAUAUACUCUAAAAAUAGAAUUGAGGUGCGCCGCACCAAAUCAAAUCAUAAAUAUGUGGCCCUCGUUUAAUUAUUUCCUUUUAAAAUACUUAAAAUUUGGGGCGUUCCAUUUAGCGAUUUUCAUGGCCCUUGCAAAGUUAAUAACGAGUUAGUUUCUUUAGGAACGUAUUUUAAUACUCCUACCUUCCUAAACGCAGGUGUUCAUUUCAUGUGAUCCAACUUCAAAUCCUAAAAUGUUGAAUAAAAUAUGUUUCUGAUUGCGGGUGCAUUUCAUGUGACGCAAUCCAAAGACGCAUUUUAGAUGACUUUGAAAUCUUCUUUAAAAUAAUUAAAAGCGGUUCAAUAAGUUAAAAUAUACCAUAGGCUAAAACAUGUAUUAAAAUCAGAUAAUAAGCUAAUUUAUGAUAGUUUAAGUGGCCGAGCUAGAACCACAGAAUAUGGGGGUGCCUAACACCUUCCAUUGGGUUAACAAAAUUCCUUAUUCAGAAUUUCUGGUUCGCAGACUUCAAAUGGAAAGUCAAAUUUUCCUCGAUUUGGGAUUUAAAACAAACCAGUGACUUCGGACAGCAGAAAACGAACCAUCCUAAGUGGCGACUUUAAACAGAAAGAAUAAAUGAUCUCAUUUCGAAUAAUGUCAUUUAAAUUGGAAAAACUCCAUUAUAUAUACCUUCGGGUGUGUAAGAAGGAGGUGUGACAGAGUUGUCUCCAUUAACAAGUCAAAUGGAAGAUCCCCAACUACUGCUAUCUUGGUCACCUCCCAUCUCAACUUGUCAACUGACUUCAUCGAAGCCUGAGAUUUCUUCACCUUCUUGACCUGCUUCCUAAGCUCCUCAAUUGUGGUUCCAUGUUCCAUCAAGAUAUCCAUGAUGGUCUUCUGGUUCUCCAGAAUCUUCUUCAACGUAUCCUCCACUAUCAGAGCAAUCUAGGGGGCUGGGGUAGUGUCUGGCUGAAAUAGCACUGGAUAGGUCAGACAUAUUUGCAGUAGUUGUCUGUAUCUAGUUGUUGAGACUCGCAAGUGUCUGGGAGACUCACAGCGCCAAAAGUGGAUAAGUAGAAGAUGAAGGAACUGAUGCUGAUGGCCUUGAAGAUGGAGGUGGAGAUAUGGAAGCUGUACUGCAAGAAGGACCCGCUAUAAUGGUAGGCAUGUCAGUUGAAGUUGUAACUAAAACCGAAGGCUUGUCUGACUAGCCCACGGUAGUAGUUGGCUGACCUUUGUUCUUGAGGUUCCUCGGGUCCUUCAAUAAGUACCAUGUAAAGGGCUUAUUCGCCCGAACCUUUGUAUCAAAACCCUUUGACUCUACUCCUUCAUCCAUAUGAUACUACCUGAUAGUGUUUGGAUACGGGUAGGAGGUCUCACCUUGCCUACCGCCCAGAGAUAUAUUGGCCGACAUGAUGGCACCCACAUUGAUUGGGUACCCGACCAUAAUGGAGGAAACUAGGACUGCCCGUGGAACUGGGAGAUUGUUUUCAUUUUUCCCUGGAUAUAUUCAGUUGUACACAAAUAUUGCCAACCUUUAGCUUUAAUGUUGAGGGUAUUUCGCUGAAUGGGAACCUCUUCAGUGAUCCAUGGUGCUGGUGGACCUGGAGAUGCCAAGGGCGAGCCGCAUCACUAAUAAGUAGUGAUUUUAACCUAUUAUUUGCUCUUUUUUUGUGUUUUGGGCCAAAAUGCGUGGUGAUAUUUCCAAAAUUUAAUGUAAUAUGCUUGCUUGUAGUAAUUUUUCAAAAUAAUCCGAAAGGGUCAAAUCAACUCAUAAAGGAGUCAAAACUUGAACAAAAGCCAAGCCUGGGCCAAGAGAUCUGAAAUGCGGACCGCACAAAUAUUGUGCGGCCGCAAAAGCAACAACACAGCUGCAAUCAGAAUUACACAGUCCGUGAAAGGGAGAUUCAGAGAGUUGCAUUUUUAGAAUAAAUGAAAAGUCCAUUCCGCAUCAAAAUUACACGUCCGCAAAAGUCUGUCACGCGGCUGCGAAUUAAAUUAUUCGUUCUGCGAAACUAAGCUCAACCCAUAUACAGAUUUGAAUACUUUGGACCACGAUUAGAAUUACGUGUCCUUGAAAGAAAGAAUGCAGUCGCACUAAUAAUUACACAGCCGGCACACCUCCGCAGUGGUGUUUUUGUCCGAAAAUUUCAGAUUAGUAUAAACAGAAACUUUUGUCAUUUGUAGGUUAUAUUAUGUAUUGGAGGAGCACCUGAGAUGGCUGAGUUUAUUGCUUUUGGAAAUUUUGUACUAGAUUCAUCUUUUAACAUUAGAUUUUCAUACUUUAAUCUAUUAUUAUGAGCUUCAUCUUCAUUUAAUCCUUAAUUUCUAUUAUUUCUAUUUCUAGCUAAACCCAUAGCUAGGGUUGUGACCUAACCCUAGUGUAGGUAUUUGAUAGUUAUUUAAUUUUAGGGCCUGAAUGUAAAUGCGUUAUUGAUAUUCAGCCCAGUUUUUGCUAGAUCUAUAGAAUUAACGGUUGCAAAUAUAGAUUCAUACUUUUAUGACUUAGUCUCUACUUGAGAAAGAUGGACUAUGUCUAGGAAAACUAGGCUAAAAAGGACUUGGACUGAACUUAAGAAAUUAAUAGCCCCAAUUAGAAGGUUAAACUUAGAGAUAGCAAUUCCCGAUAUGAGCUAAUAUCACUUGAAUUUCAUGAAUACCCAUUUGGACUUGAGAAAGCCAAAUUGAGCAAAAUCGCUCAAACUACUAAGAGGUAUAGAGUGAGUACUCGGGUGCGAUAGUUAUAUUAUGAUCCAAACUAAUCACGAGCUUUCCCUAGAUUUUAAUAUCCGUUAGAUAUCCACUUAGGUCAAAGUCACGACCAUAUUCUCCUUAAACAUAUGAAAAUCAACAAAUACAAUAUUGUCCUUAGUUUCAAUUAUUGCAUUCUUUAGAGUAAAAGUUAGAAGUAGAAAUAAAAUGCAAAACUUGUGGAAGAGUAAUUAGAUUCAAGGCCUGCAUUUAGCUCAUAUAUAAACCUAUCUCCAAUUAUUAACUCUCUGUGGAUUCGUUCCAACCUGAUUAGGUCAGGAAACUUGCAAAUAACCAAGUCAUGCUUACACUGUUAGAAUAGAGUGGUUUCUUAAUCGGAGCUCCACACCAAAAUGCCUAUAACAUCUCAGAGGUUUUGUUGACACGUGCUGGGGGAGAAAGCAAACUAAUGUCUCCAAGGACGCAUUGAGGUUAAGGCUUUACCCAUUUUCUCUAAGGGGGAGGCUUUGGAUUGGCUAGAAAGGUUACCCAACCAUUCCAUCACCAUUUUAGAUGAGUUGGACAAAACGUUCAUCGCAAAGUUCCUUUUUUCGAGACAUAUGGAAAUGCUAAGAGAUGAGAUCCUUUCACUUAAAUAAGAGCUAAAUGAAUUGCUAUAUGAGAUUUGGGAAAGGUAUCGGACGAUGGUUAAAGAAUAUCUAAAAAAUGAUAUGACCGAAGCCAUGAUCCAACAAAAUUUCUACCGUAGCAUUAACACAACAAACCAAUGUGUGGUUAACCAACUCGCCAGGGGGAAAUUUAUGAAUACUCCAUAUGCCGAAGCAUGUAAAUACUUGAUGAGAUGGGGGAUAAAUCCUCGGCGUGGAAAAGUAGAGCUAAUGUGCCACAAGGUGACCUUAAUAUUAUUCACCUACACAAGGAGCUACCUGACCACGACCAAGCUAUAGACGAGUUGACAACUACCAUGAACCAAUUGGCCAAAGCUUAGCUUCAAAAAGUUCAGUGGCCAAAACAAGUGAAUUCCAUGGAAGGAGUGAAUAUGAUGAUCAACAAGAGAAGGCAAUGAGGUCAACAAGUUCAAAACAAUCUGGAUCAAUUUGAGCAAAGUGGUAGUGGGUACAAUCAAGAUGAUUCAUAUGAUGAGCAAAGUGAAGAGGUUCAAUAUGUCAACAAUUAUCAAGGUCAACGGGUCAAUGCUCUGAAUCAACAAUAGUGGAGAUUAUAGGAAAAUCAAGGAAAUUGGGGUAAUCAAGGUCAACAGGGAAAUUUUAAUAGUGGAAAUAACAACAACCAAGGCAAUUUGGGGAACAACAACAAUCAAAAUAGGGCUAAUCAAGGAAUUCAAGGCAAUUGGGGUGGCAAUAAUAAUAAUAAUAUUAUGGAAGUAAUAACAAUCAAGGGGGUUGGAACAACAAUAAUCAAGGGAAUCAGGGGUCGGGAUUUCAAAGGCCCCCGAUGUAUCAACAAUCGAACAACCUGCCUCCAUAUUCGCCACAAGGUCCUAGUUUUUCCAACAAUGUGAUGGACGGAUUAAACCAUGUUCGAGCAAAUGAUGAAGAAAAAUGCCGAUUUCGAUGCUCAAUUAGCCUGCCAAAACACUUUUAUAUGCAACAUGGAAGUCUUACUUGGCCAAAUUUCUCAAGCUUAGAAUACUCUCCCUAAGGGGGAACUACCAAGUGAUACAGUAGUGAACCCGAAGGGUAAGAACAAUACGGACCAUGCUAUGGCGGUGACUACAAGAAAUGGUAGAGGUGGAGUUGCUAGUACCUCUAAUCCAAGAAAGGUUUUGAGUGAUGAUGUGUUGGUGCAUGAUGAAGAUGAUAUUAGAAAUGAUGUGCAAGUAAAUAAUGAGAAUGUGAAUAAUGAAGUGAGGAUAUAAAAUUAUGACAACGUGGAGGAGGCACAAAAUGAUGUGAACCCGUCUAGGGAACAUGUGAUAGACAUAUGUAAACAGUAGUGCCUAAAGCCGAAGACCAUUUUCUAAGGCCUCCUCCAUCAUAUCCUCAAAGGCUUACAAAGCAAAUCAAUGAGAACCAAUUCAAGAAAAUAAUUGAUAUGAUGAAAAGUUUGUCCAUAAAUAUGCCUUUGGUUGAAGCCCUAGAACAAAUGCCGAGAUAUGCCAAGUUCAUGAAGGACCCGGUUACAAAGAAGAGAUCAAUGAACUGUGAAAUGAUCUAAAUGACACAUCAAGUGAGUUCCAUUGUACACUCCAUGGCUCCAAAGUUAGAAGACCUCGGUGCCUUUGUAAUCCCAUGCACUAUAGGUAGUGCUGAUUAUGCCAAAGCUUUGUGUGACUUGGGGGCAAGCAUUAACUUGAUGCCAUAUUUUGUGUUCAAGAUAUUGGGGAUUGGUAAAAAAAAGACCAACAUCCAUGAGGAUACAAAUGGCGGACCAGAUAAUGAAGAGGCCAUUGGGGAUAAUCGAUGAUGUGCUAGUUGGCGUCAACAAGUUCAUACUUCUUGCAGAUUUUAUGAUACUUGACUGUAAGGUUGACUAUGAGGUACCAAUAAUAUUUUUGAGAUCUUUCCUAGCUACAGGAAAAGCCUUAGUUGAUGUGGAUGUUCGGAAGCUCACUUUCCAGGUGGGUGAUAAGAAAGUUAUGUUCCAUGUUUGCAAGUCAAUGAGGUAGGCUAAUAUCAACGAAGUGCAUCCGUUUGUGGAUCUUGUGACCGAAGUGACUGUUGAUAACAUAACUGUUGUGAUUUAUGUUGAAAACCAUUGGAAGCUGUGUUAUUGAAUCAUGAUAUGGAUGAGAAGGAAGGCUUGGUGGAAUAUAUUAAUUCUUUUCGACGAAUGGGUUUAUAUACAUAUGAGCCCCGAAAACUUUCUUUAGACCUCGAGAAUCGGAAGAAUCUACCAAUAAAGCCCUCAAUCGAGGAAUCUCCCAAAUUGGAGUUGAAGCCCUCGACUUCAUACAUCAGGUAUGAGUUCUUAGGCUCUUGUUCCACUUUACCAAUUAUUCUUUCCUCAUGCUUAACUAAGUGCAGGUAGAUGCCACCAUUGCGGUUCUCCAAAGGAGGAAGAAGGCAAUAGGUCGGACAUUGGCGGAUAUUCAAAGUUUAAGCCCCCCCGCCUUUUGCAUGCACAAAAUCAUAUAGGAGAAGGAUGCCAAACCCUUUGUAGAACAUCAAAGACGGUUGAAUGAGGCCAUGUAAGAGGUUGUAAAGAAAGAUAUCAUCAAAUGGUUGGAUGUUGGGGUUGUCUACCCCAUUUCUGAUAGUUCAUGGACUUUACUAGUACAAUGUGUCCCAAAGAAUGGGAGCAUGACCGUGAUUAAAAAUGACAACAAUGAGUUGAUCCCCACAAUAACUAUCACUGGUUGGAGAGUGUGCAUGGAUUAUAGGAAGCAUAAUGAUGUUACUUGGAAAGGCCGUUUUCUGCUUCCAUUUCUUGAUAAGAUGGUUGAUAGGUUAGCCGUACGUGCUUAUUAUUUCUUUUUGGAUAGGUACUAUGGAUAUAGACAAAUUCUUAUUGCACUUUAAGACCAAGAGAAAACCACCUUCACUUGUCCGUAUGGCACAUUUGCUUUUCCAAGGAUGUCAUUUGGUUUAUGUAAUGCACUGGCCACAUUUCAGUGGUGUAUGAUGGAAAUAUUAACGAAUAUGGUGGAGGACUUCCUCGAGGUUUUCAUAAAUGAUUUCUCUAUUGUGGGAGAUUCUUUUGAAGAGUGUUUGGAUAAUCAUGAUAAGGUAUUGGCACGAUGUGAAGAGACCAGCUUGGUGUUGGGAGAAGUGCCACUUUAUGGUCGAGGAGGGCAUAGUCCUCGGCCACAAGAUCUCAAAGAAUGGUGUUGAAGUGGAUAAAGUAAAAACUGAAAUGAUAUUAAGACUUCCUCUUCACUUCCAUCAAGGAGUGAGGAGCUUUCUAGGUCAUGCGGUGUUUUACCGUCGGUUCAUCAAGGAUUUCAUAAAGGUAGUGAACCCCUUGUGCAAGUAGUUGGAAAAAGAAGCUAAAUUUAUGUUCAAUGAUGAUUGUAUGAAGGCCUUUGAGCUACUCAACUAUUGGUUGACUACCAUUCCAUCAUUACCGCACCAAAUUAGAUCUUACCAUUUUAGCUGAUGGGUGAUGCUAGCGACAUGGAGGGUUCAAAGAGGCUAAUUUGAGCACAAGUUUUACCACUGACCGCGAGAGUCCGAAACUGAAAUGAAGUCUUUUUUGGCACAAACUACAUUUAUACAGUUUAAAAAAAGUUACAUUUCUAACUAAAAUUCAGUAUAAUACUAUGUUAUACUUUAACCCAAAGUUAACCGUUAAAGUUAAUCGCAGUAUUAUACUGCGUUACAUUAAAAAAUUAGUUUUCAUAGGAAAAUGCAUUAUAUUGCUGCUUUUAAGGAAAAUACAGUAUUUUACUGGAUUUCCCUAUAAAAUUUGGGCCCACCAUAAUAACAGUUCUGCAUGACUGCAGAGAAUAUUUGUUUUUUUAGUGUAAAACAUAUUAUAAUACUACGUUUUACACUGAAACGUAUUAUUAUACUGCGUCUUACACUAAUUAUUUGGCCCACAAAUAAGUGUUCUACGGAUAGCUAAAAUAGCACUAAUUCAAAUACAUAAAACGUGGUAUUAUAAUGUGUUUUGCAUAAAAAAAUCUGCACCUCAAGCUCGGACUUGCCUUAUUUAAAGGCGCUUGAAUUUUAUGAAAAUCCAUUCAAAAAUUUCCAUUAAACUUCCGUUCAUACUUCUCUCUUUUGCUUAUCAAUCAUUUUUUAUAAUAUUUGAAGAGCCAAAAAUAAGGGUUUCAUUAUAUUGAGGGGGGGAGGGUGAGGUUGUGCUGGAGAAUAAGUCUAUGAGGUAUAGUUCAUCUCUAUAGUGUCAUGUUAAAUUAAUGCUUAUAAUGGAGUUUAAUAAAUUAGGAUCGUUGUUACAUAAAAAAUGAGUGUGAUAAAACAUUUGGUAACCUUAAAGUAACCGGUAGAUUUAUGUAUUUAGUGACUCCGCAAGGGUUUGUUUAUUAUUCUUAGUUUAACAUCAUAUGAUGAAACUCUUAGAGAUUUUUUGCGGAUUCUGGAUGAAUACAUGGAAUUUAUUGUAAUAAAAUUGUUGGAAAUAUAUGUCAAGGUUGAAGACGUUGCCAACAAUGAGGGCGUGCAUAGUAGGGAUAACCUCUAGUCAUCGAGUGGUUAUUCUAGAGAAGUUUUAUCGGACAGAUUGCUGAUGAAAGAGCUUGCCUUCAUUUAAACUUGUCACCACCUGCGAAUGAGUAGCCACAAAAUAUUUUUUUGAUUAUAUAUAAUCCACAAGACGAAUGGUAAAAUUUAAUUUUCUAUUCUUUACCGGUGUUUAUUUUAGGUUUUAAUUGGAUUUGUAUUAACACUCAUAUUUUUCAUAGGGGGUACCGUCCGGAUAUGAACUUUGCAAGUUAUAACCCUGCCCCUAGUUGGAAUAUGCGUAGUUUUGGCGUAUUGGACCACAGUAGUCCAUCCGGGAGUCAUAAAGAACAAGGAUAUAUCCAUCAUGAAAGGUCAAGAUAGUACGACUUAUAAGUAAAGUGAUAUAGAUAUAUGUAACGUAUUUAUAUAGUUGGGUAGCUUAUCAGUUUGUUCUUUUUGUGUAGUGAAAACGAGCAACUUGAUGCUCCUGACCUCACACACUUGCCUAUAGACGACGUACUAACUCAUGAUUUGGCAGAUGUGCAGAGUUAGGAAGAUGAUAGUUAUUAUGACAACAAUGCCGAUGAGUCUUGAGAUGACACACCCUUCCCUGAUGAGGGUGGUGAUGAGGAAGAAAUGAAUGUUGAACCUGAGCUGACGAGGGAGAAUGCUCCUCCAACUACCGUUAGACCAAGAGUGUAUGGGUCUCAUGUGCCCUUUCUUCAGCGGAAUAUUUCCUACCUUAAUAAUUUCCCAAGUACGCGGGACGUGGAUUUCCUUCAAGUACGCGGGACGUGGAUUUCCUUACAAGAGAGAUGAUGAAUUUCGGUCAGUGCUGAGGGAUGAGUCUACACCAAUGUGUUGGCAAAGGGCAUGUAUUUCCCUAAUAAAGCUCACCUAAUCAGGGCUGUAAAAGUCUACUGCGUAAGUGAGUGCUGUGAGAUGAUGGUAAGGGAGCCAACUAUGGAGGUAUACAGGGAUGUAUGCCGUAGAGACUUGAUGGGUUGUCACUGGAUAUUGCGUGCCAGCAAGAACAAAUCAGGUUUGUGGAAAGUGGGUAAAUUUCUUAGCAGCCACAGAUAUGAAAUGGGCACAUUAAAUGAGAAUCACUUCAACCUUGAUAUUGACUUGAUUUUUUUUGUCUUGAUUCCAUAUUUGGAAGUGUCCAUUAGGUUCAAGUUUAAAAAGUGUAUCACAUCCGUCCACCAGGAGUAUGGUUGUUCAUAACCAAAAGAAAGGCAUAUCUCGAUCGCAAAAGUGCCUUUGAAUGUAUUUAUGGCGACUGGGAUAAGUAUUUUUUAUCUCUGCCUAGGUACAUGGCCGCACUACAACACUUUAGCCCUGGGACUGUUGUUGAAUGCAUGUGUGAGUGAAGUUCGGACAGACCCGAAUAUAUUUUCAAUUAUGUGUUCUAGUAAUUUAAACUAGCAAUUGAUUAUUUUGUGCAUUGUCAUCCUGUAAUUUCCAUAGACGGUACUCAUGUCUAUGGAAAGUAUGAUAUUAAGCUUUUGAUUGCAAUUGCAGUAGAUGACAACCGAGAAAAUAUUUCCACUAGUUAUUUCCACUUAUGCCAAUGAAAGAGAAGAGACGUGGAUGCGCUUUUUGAACCACUUGAAGACGUAUGUUGUCAAAAAGUAUUCAGGUCAUUGUCUAAUAUCUGAUCGACAUGGUGGUAUUUUAAAUUCUAUACGGACUUGCCUGAAUAUCAACAACCCUAUGCAUACCACCAUUACUGUGUGAGGCAUCUGAAGGCCAAUUUCAAAAAGAAAUAUCCUGAAAAGGCCUUGCAUGACUUAAUGUGGAUGGCUGCGACUGAGCACCAACAGUGUAAAUUCAUAAGGUGCAUCAUAGUGAUUUGGCAAUUAGAUCUAUGAGCUAUACUUGGUUGAUGGGACAUAAGCUUCACAUGUAAAUAUUGCAUGUUGAUGGCGGAAAAUAUGUUAGAGUCAUUCAACGGCUUGUUGAAGUCUGCCCGUGGAUUGCCUAUCAAUUCCAUGGUCAAUGUGACAUUCAAAUAGAGUGCAGAGAGGUUAGCUGAAAGGCAUGGAGCAUUAUCGACAUUGAUGGACAAGGGUGUUCAAUUUAUGCCAAUACACAUGAGAAUAUUUGAAAGGAACAAGAGGCGAGCACAUUCAAACCGGGGUAUUUUUGAAGUUAAGACAGCUAUCCGCAUACACCAUAGGAAUAAUCUAUUAAUGGUAAAUGAAGCCAGAAGGUUUUGUUCAUGUGGGAUAUGGACCAUCUACCACAUGCCGUACGCACAUGCCUUGAAAUGCUUUCAAGAAGUUGGUUUAAAGGCAACCAACUAUAUUGAUAAGCAAUACAGUGUUGAUGUAUACGUAGACACGUAUAGUGGGAAGUUGCAGCCAUUAGGUGCUGAGCAUUAUUGGCUGCCGAAACCUUUUAAGAUGGUGUGUAACAAGGACUAAUUGCGCAAGAUUCAAGUGCAAAAUAAAAUGCAUAUACAAAACCAAAUGGAUGUUGGUGACACCGUUUAUGCAUGUAAAUGUUGCAUAUGCUCGCAAAUAAGACACGACCGUCAUAAAUGUCCUUCACGUGGUGUGCCUAGUGGUGGUAAUCCAGCUCCUGGUGCAAGUUCGUCGAAUGUACCCAACUAUAAAGGAUACCCCUAAUCUUUUAUUUUCGUAUUAUUUUUUGUAAUACGUGUCUGUACUUGUGCAUGUUGCAAUAUCUGUCAAAUAUAAUUAUGUUCCACAAUCUUGUUACAUCUUAUUUUUUAGAUCUUUUGAUAUGGUUGUUCAAAUAUUAAAUUUAUUAGUGUUAGUAAAGAAGACCAAGAUUGUGGAAUAAAAAAAUUACCUAUUAAAAAAUAAAUUGAAUAUAUAAAGUGUGGUACAAAACUACGUUUUAUCAGUUGUCUUGUCGUUUUGAAAAUAGCUGAAAUGUCUGCAAAAAACCGUUUUGUUUCAGAAAAGUUUUAAUAUGUAAAGUGUGGUUCAAUACUACGUUAUAUCAGUGGUCUUGUUGUUUUGUAAAUAGGUGAAACGACUGCGAAAAAGCUGUUUCGUUUCAGAAAACUUUUAAUAUGUAAGGAGUGGUACAAUACUACGUUUUAUGUGAAAUUGCCCAUAAAUAACAGGCGCAUUCUACUUAUUUUCUAUGCUUAACAAUAACCAAUAGCAAUAUUUCCAUAAAACCAAAGUUUCUCUUUAAGAAUUGUCUCAACAACCCUUUUAUGUCCCAAGUUGCUAUUGCGGAAAAAAAUAGAGUUUGUACAAUUGGUGGGAAGAAGGUGGACACCGCUACAGGGUAUGUAUGAACAAGUUUUAUAGGUAAUCCGACGAGCCUACAUGUGAUUUUAAGGUAAGGAUGGAUAAACCAUGUAAACAGGAGUACUACAAAGGCAGAAUUUAUGAUCUUUAUAAGUUAUGUACGAGGCAAGGGGAAAGAGAAUGCCGAUCCGACCAAGAAAUUGAGGAGUUGAAGGUGAAAAUUAAAGAGGUGGAAUAAGAAGAAAAAAAGCUGGAAGACCAACUCAAGUGGUUGGAGCGGAGAGUACAAGCUGGUGGUGACUAAACAGUGGCUUGUACGUGUUGAGUGUAGUAAAGUAUCUUUAUGCUUUCCUUGUCAAGUGUUUUCUUUAGAUGUACAAUUUGUUUUACUUAUGUAUAUCUUUAGGUUUGCUAUGUUUGUGUUUGUGUUGUCAUGUUAAAAUAAAAUUGUUAUUCAAAUUCUGUUACAAUAAAAAUAUUGUUAAAAUAGAAUUGUUGCCAUUAUAUAUAUAAUGUAGUAUUUUCUUCAUAGAAUUGUUCAAAUAUUCAACUUACUAGUGUUACAAAAGAAUACCAAUCUAUAAUUAAAAAAAAACUAUAUGCAAAGUGUGGUAUAAUACUACGUUUUGUGAAUUGUCUUGUCGUUCUAAAAAAAGUUGAAACGACUGCGAAAAAACCUGUUUUGUUGCAAAAAAAUUUAAUAUGUAAACCGCAGUUACUUUUUUGUGAGUUGUCUUGUUGUUCUGAAAAACAUGAAAACCAUGUGAAAAAGUUGUUUUGUUUUGGAAAAAUUUAAUAUGUAAAGCGUGGUAUAAUACUAUGUUUUGUGUGUAUGUAAAGCAUGGUAUAAUGCUACGUUUUAUGUGAAAUCUUGCCUAUAAAUAACAGAAGCAUUCUAGUUAUUUUCUGCGCUUAACAACAACCUCCAGCAAAUAUAUUUAUAAAAAUAAUGUUUCUCUUUAAGAAAUGUGUCAACAACCCUUCUAUAUCCCAAGGUGCGUCUACGGAAACAAAAUCAUGAUGUACGAUUAUUGGGAAGAAGCUGGAUGAUGCUACAGGACGUGUAUGAACAAGUUUUAUUGGCAAUCCAAUGUACAUACAUUCAAUUUUUAGGUAUGGAUUGCUAAACCAUGUGAGCAGAAAUACUACAAGACAAGUUGUAUCAUCUUUAUAAUGUGUGUACGAGGCAGUGAGACAGAGAGCGCCAAUCCAAGCAAGAAAUUACAGAGUUGAAGGCGAAACUCAAGUAGGUGAAAGAAGAGAAAAAAGCUAGAAAACCAACUGAAGCGAUUGGAGCAGAGAAUACUAGGGGGUCAUAACUAAACAAUGGCAUGUAUGUGUUGAGCAUAGUAGUGUAUCUUUAUGUUUCCCUUGUCAAGUGUUUUCAUUAGUUGUACUGUUUGUGUUGUGUUAGGUUUGCUAUAUUUGUGUUUGUGUUGUACUAUUAAAAUAAAAUUUUCGUUCAAUCGCAGUUAAAAAAAUUGUUAUUAAAAUAGAAUUUUUGCAAUGAUUUACAUAAUGUAGUAUUUACACAAAGUACAAACAUAAGUAAAUCAAUGAGUCCUGCAGCUUGUGUGCUUCAGUGCUAUUGCUGGCCUGAGUUGCAUUACAUGUCGCCCGAGUACACUAUCGAGAUCAUCAUUAUCAAGUUGCCUCUUUAAGUGAGGAUGCACAGCAAUAUCAACGGUACAACUUGUAGGAUCGGUAGAAGAGGCCAUCGGGCGGUCUGCAACCUACAAAACGAGUACUAAGCUUAGCAUGUAAAAAUGUAUAUUAGUAUUGUACGUGUUAAGUGAAAAAUAUUUUCUCACCAUGGUCUCGUCGUCUUCCUGAGUAUAUGCAUCUAUGGUGUCUCCAUCAGUGCAUAUAGUGGCCUCCAUGAUGUGCUGGGACGAAGCCUUACUAAGAAAAUUAAAAAUUAAUUAAUGGAAAAUCAUUAAGGAAAAGAAAACGAAUUGAAAUUUUACAGUGAUACAAACAUACCUGCGCUUGUGGUAGAUCCACAUCAACCACCGGGGAUAAGGCAUAACUUAACCUGCGCCCGCUAUUCACAUCCCGGUUCGCCGAUCCUUAGUUGCGAUUGAUGGGCCUGAAAAGAAUUGAUCCACAUACCCCUCAAAUAUACCUAUGAUUAUCAAUGUCUCUGACAGGAAGACCUGCGAUGUUGUUAGAUAUAGGUUAAAGUUGUACGACAACAUAUUGCUGGAAGGCUCAUCUAGCCGAGGGAAAUAACCCGACCGAUCAUCUCCAAGAUCCUCAUCAUUUGUCUCAACAGGUGGGUCGAUAGGUGCCUCAAUUCCCCAUUACUUGGUACCAACUCCUCGCCAUCCCCUAUGAACCUGUGGGGCACCCUUGCCUCGUGGGACAGACCUGCCUCGUAGGGAAUCCCUCUCUUGUGCCCUACCCUUACCUCGUGGGAUAGCCCUACCUCGAUGGUACACUUCUGACACCGCAUACUCAAUCUCGUGAUCUAACCUCGUGCAAUCUCUUGCUCGACACAAGGUCCGACGAGCUAGCUUUUCCACCCGCCGACUAUACUUAACGACUGCAACACUGUUGCUAUGCUGUUGCAUCUCCUACCCAAACUGGUAGAACAUGUGUUGCCCGAUAGCCUACGCAACAUUUAAAAUAUUAUUUAAAUAAUGCUAUAUCGUAAUUAUAAGAUAUUAGUAAGCCAACCAAACAUACCCAGCGCCUCGCGCCUCCCUGCGUAUGGUCAAUAUCGAUUGCCAAGUACAUGAAUGGGGUUACUGAUCAUCAGUUGGGUGUGACGGCGGUACGUGACAUAUGCAGCUUAAUACUGGCCUCUUGGAUGGCAGAAUCCGGUACUCUCCCUGGUCCCAAAUAUGGAUCUGCUACUCUAGCCAUCCUACAAAUUCAUCAUCCACCCUGGUACAGUCAUCCUGCUGAUAAUGUAUAGGCACUCAUGCAGGCUCCCCUGGUAUAAGCUACAGACAGUGAAACUGGCGAAGCACACGCUCUGUGGCAUGAUUCUCAACCACAUCAAAGAAGAUCAUAGGGACGAAAGUGCUCCAAAGUAGUCGGCCGACUGAGCAAUAAUUGGGCAGCUGAGCUAGCAACUCGUUGUUGUAUGGCAUCCAAAUGAACGAUCAAAUAAUAGCAUAAAAGAUUGAGUAUGCGCAACAAAAGUGAAUUUAUAAGAAGUAAUUUUAGUUACAUAUUUACUUGUCUGGCCACCAACAUAUCUAACACAUCCUUUUCAAGGGGGAAUUAUAAUGAUCAUAAGUCCCUCGAUAGUUCCCACAACGAGUUGGUAGAGGUGGCUGCAAAAGGUUGACAUAAAACUUUACAGUCAUUUUGACCAUGUAGAAUUCAAUGUAAUGAACAGAGUAUUCAAAAAUGUUAUCACCUAUAAAAGCGGCAGAAAACCACAUAUGUCCACCUGCUAGCCCAUGCUCUCCCGGCAUAUACUCAUGUACAGGUAUGCUAGAAUAGUAGCACCCCAGCUGUACCAGGGUAACUCAUCUAGCUGAUGUAGAUAAUGCAGAAAGCACAUACUCACUAGAUUUCCUGAAGUGUUCGGGAACGAGACACCCUCCAAAAGAAGGAACAGCGCCAACCUCAUGUAUCAGUCAAUAUAGAUAGCCUCUGUCUCGCAUAUAAUAUCGGGGUGCAAUACCUCCAUAUGCUCUCUGAUAGCUGUCACAGAAACGUGACUGCCCCCUCUAAGUGCAACCUCACCCUGUGGUCUGUAACGAGUAUACUGUCCCACCAAAUCCAAAUAUUGGGGACGCGUCAUAGCUCUCAUGUACUGGGGCAAUGCAACGGCCAGUCCAUCUACACGUAGCCCAUACAAAACCUAAACAUCCUCAAGCGUGAUGGUGGCCUCUCCAGUGGGCAGGUGAAAAGUGUGCGUCUCCGAUCGCCACCGCUCUAUCAAUGCCGUGAUGAGAGUCUAAUCGAGCUGCAUCAGCCCAAUCCGAAAAAUCCUAAGGAAGCCCAUAGCCUCUAGGCAAUCGACUACGCGGGGAUGAAAAUGUCUCUCCCUAGAAAAGUUCCACAAAUUUUUCGGUCUCAUGGCGCAGAGAGUCUGAUCCAAUAGAUGUCCCUCCAUACAUAGGAGGACCUAUGGUUGCCCUGUAACACUAAUAUCUAAUCUUCAACUGGUCGAGGUUGCACAUACGGCAAGUGCAUGUCGUCUACUAUAAUAUAAAUAAUAUUAAUUAUGUCCGUGUUAUAAUAAAUUAAAUAAUUCUUUUUAUAUUUGGACAAAGUCAUUAUCUAUGGGUUCUAGGCUCGAUAUUUGAGGCCCAGUAGCACCAAGCUAUCCUUAAUUAUUAUGUGUGUCACUUUUAAUAAGUUUAAAAUUUUAUUAGUUUAAUUAAUUAAAUAAUUAAUUAUUUAAUUAGACUAAGUAAUUAUUUAUGGGUUUGCCGCUCGAUAUUUAAGGCCAGUAGCACCAAAAUAUCCUUAAUUAUUAUAUGUGUCAAUUUCUAUAAGUUUAAAAUUUUUUUAGUUUAGUAAAUUCAAUAAUUAAAUAUUUAAUUAAUGGUCGAUCUGCAGCCACAAACACUUUUCUGCGACCGCAGUUCAAUUUUUGUGACACAGUCAAUUCACAUCAACUGCAUUAAAUUAACAAUUCGUUGACCACACAAUUUCUUGUGCAGUCGCAACAACAUCGAUAGUAAAUUUAGGGUUCCAAACUUUAAGCACAAAUUAGACAUGAUAAUACCAUUUAGAUAUGCUAAAUAUAUCACCCAUCCCCCAAAUAGCAACUAUGAAGCUACCCACACAAAUUUAAGUCAUAUGAUGAAGAAUUUGCAUUAAGUCUAAAAAAGAACUAAACUAAUUGUGUACAAUAUUAAGAAAAUUGAAAAAUUUUGAAAGAUGAAUUGAACAUAGCAGUAACAAAUUGAUGCUAUGGAAGAACAAAGAUGAUGAAAUUCGUGUGAGAUGCGUGAAUAGAUGAGUACAUUGUGCUUGCCUUUGUGGUAACUUUUCAGAACGCAAAGUUUUAACUGUAGAAUAAAGGCCCCUAUUUAUACUUAACACGGUUUGCUAAAGGUUCAAGAGAAGAGUGUGGCUGCACAAUUACAUGAGUGAUCCAUACUCUUUUCACUUAAGAACAUUAUCCUUUUGAAGAUCUAUGGUCCGCACAAUUUUGUGUGCGACUGUAGAUUUUAGUUCAGACACUACAUUUCGUUGUGCUGCUGCACUUUGUACAUUUCUCUUAAAGGAAAACUUCAGAGAGUGUUCACUUUUAGCUUCCAAGUUGUGCGGUCCGUAAAACAAAUGUACAGCCACAUAUCUCUUGUUAUUGUGGCACUUAAAUUGUGCGAUCCACACAAUAACUAUGCGGUCCGCACUUUUUCUUUACUAAGCCAAAUUUUCUUAACACAAUCCCUGGAAAGCACACUUAUUCCUGCAACAUACUUCAAAACCAGUUAGCAUAAAACAAGACCUAUCUAAAGAAGAAAAAAAUAGAAAAAGACAUAUGGGUUGCCUCCCAAGUGCCUGAUUUAACAUCGCGGCACGGAUUACCAUCAUCAUUUGAAAUAAAGAACUGCCACGACAUGGCCAUCAUCAACUUUUCCUAGAUAAUGUUUCACCUAUGACAAUUGAUUCAAAACACUUCAUCAUUUCUAUUUUUUAAAGUCUAAUGCACCAAAGGGUGUUGCACUUACAAACUCAAAUGGGCCAGUCCAUUAGAUUUCAACUUUCCUGGAAACAUUGGUAACCGAGAAUUGAACAACAAAACAAGACCACCUUCUUUAAACUCCUUGUUAUUAAUGUACUUGUCAUGGAAGUACUUCAUCUUCUCCUUGAAUAAGAACGAACCUAUAUAUGCAUGGUACAUGAACUCAUCUAGCUCAUUCAAUUGUGCCACCUUUAUGUUGGCGGCAACAUCCCACUCAGGAUUCAAUUUCUUAAAAGCCCACAUGGCUUUGUGCUCAAGUUCUACCGGAAGAUAAAAAGCUUUUCCAAACACUAACCGGUAUGGAGACGUUCCAAUUAGUGUUUUGUAUGACGUCCUAUAAGCUCAAAAAGCAUCAUCAAAUUUCUUUGACCAAUCUAUCUAAUUGACAUUCGCUGUUUUAGACAAAAUACUCUAGAUUUCCUGCUUAGAGACUUCCACUUGACCACUUAAUUGAGGAUGAUAAGGGGUUGUGACUAUAUGAGCGACACCAUACUUGGAGAGAGGCAUCGAAAGCUUUAUUGCAAAAAUGCACUCCCCCAUCACUUAUGAUAGCUCUUGGAGUACCAAAUCUUGUAAAGAUGUUCUUCUUCAAAAACGCCACCACACUUCUCACUUCGUCGUUAGAAAAAGAAACGCCCUUAACCUAUUUGGACACAUAAUCAAUUGCGACUAAGAUGUAGGUGUUUUCACAAGAACUCACGAAUGAGCCCAUGGUGGCAAGGGGCAUUUCGUUUUUCUUUGAGAUUCUACUGGCCAUUUGUCUUUCUUUCCUUCGGAGUUACUAAUUUUGGGUUUGAAUUGAUUUUAGGUACGAAAACGGCUCUCAACAACUAGCCCAUCGAAAAUGUACAAAAUGCAGGGCUUAUUCCCCGAAUAUCUACCAAUGUCAGUCCAAUAGAUCCAUUCCUCCUUUGAAGCAUUGGCAAUGUGGAUUCUACCUGCACGUUAGUUAAAUAAGAGGAAAGAAUAACCGGUAAAGUAGUAGAACAACCAAGAAAUUCAUACCGAAAAUGUAGAGACAAUGUCUUUAACCCUAAAAUGGGAGGCUCCUCAUUUGAAGGCUUUGUUGGAGGAGUGGUUAUAUUCUCAAUAUAAAAGGACAAUAUUUGGGGCUCAUAUGUAUACGACCCUAUUCUUUGCAAAGAGUUCACACAUUCCUCAUAACCCUCCAUUUCUUCAUCAUCACAAUUGAGCAAGACAACCUCCAAAGUAUCAUCAACAUUCAUUGCGGUACUUCUUUCACCAAUAAUGAGAUGGUCACCAAGUCCACGAAAGAGCACACCUCAUUGCUAUUGGGUUGCCUCAUAGACUUACGCACAUGUAAAACCAUUUUCUCAUCACCAACCCAGAAAGUAAGUUUUCUAGCUUCAACUUCAACCAGAUCCUUCCUCGUAGUAGGAAAGGUCUCCCAAGAAUAAUCAGCAUCUCAUAGUCAAUCUUGCAAUCAAAAAUAACAAAAUUCGACGGGAGAACAAAUUUAACAACAUGAACCAACAUAUUAUCGAUGAUACCUAACAGUCUCUUCGAGGUAUGGUCCGUCAUUGAUAAUCUCAUAGAUGUGAGUCUUGGUUGCCUAAUUCCCAAAGUCUUGAAAACCAAAUAGGGCAUCAAGUUGAUACUUUCCCCAAGAUCACAAAGAGCUUUAGUAACGUUGACACUUCCAAUGGUACAAGGGAUUGUGAAAGUGCCGAGAUCCUCAAAUUUAGGUUCCAUUAAGUGUAGAAUUGCACUCACUUGAUAAGUCAUCUUUAUAGUUUCACAAGUCAUUAACCUUUUCUUUGUCACCAAGUCCUUCAUGAACUUUGCAUAAUCAGGAAUUUUCUCCAAAGCCUCUACCAAUGGCACGUUGAUAGAUAGGCUCUUGAUCAUGUCAACAAUCCUUUUGAAUUGUUUCUCUCUAUUUUUCUUGGCAAGACUUUAAUGAUAUGGAGGAGGAGGCCUAGGAAUUUGUGCCUUUUCCUUUGACACUACCGGUUUCGGUAUGUCAAAAAUGUGUUCCCUAGACGGGUUCACUUCCUCUUGAGUCUCCUCCAUAUCGUUAUCAAUAUCUAUUCUCACCUCACCAUUUGCUUGCACUUUAUUGUUUGGCAUUUUAUUUUCUUGUACCAUUAUCUCAUCAUCCACAAGUUUCUUUUGACUCAAAGUGGUUCAAUCCCUACAUUUUCCACUCCUUGUAGUUAUGGCCAUGACAUGUUCCGUAUUGUUCCCACCCUUUAGGGUUCACCACCAUGUCACUUGGAAGUGCCCCCUUAGGAAGUGUGCUUAAAGAUUGCGAGUUUUCUCCAAUUGAACUUACAAAUUUCAAGUUGAAGUGUUGUGAGAGUCUAGUUGAGCAUCGGAGUCGGCAUUCUUCUCCAUCAUUUUUUAGAACAUGUUCUCAAUUCGUCCCAUCGAAUUGUUAGAGGAACUUGGAUGUUUGGAAGGAUAUGGAGGCGGGUUGUUAUGUAAUUAAUACAUCGGGUGACUUUGAAAGCUCGACCCCCGAUGGCCUUGGUUAUUGUUCCAUCCCCUUGGUCAUUGCCUCCCCAAUAUCCUUGAUUAUUGUCACUCCAAUUGCUUGGUUAUUUUAAACAUUUCAAUUUCCUUAAUUGUUUUUAUUUUUCCAAUUCUCUUGGUAUUUUGAAUUCCAAUUCUCUUGAUUUCCUUAAGGUCAUCAUUAUUGUUGAUUCUAGCCUUUAUAGUUGUUACUUUGUCCUUGGAAGUUGUUCACAUAUUGUACUUCUUAUUCUUGCUCAUUGUAAGAUUCAAUCAAACCUACUAUCAUCUUGAAUAUAAUUUCCCACAUGAUUUUGCACUUGUGGACCCUUUUGCCUUCUCCUAUUUACCAUCAUAGUAACUCUCUCCAUUGCAUUGGCUUGCUUACGACCUUGCACUUGUUGAAGUUGAUCCUUGGCUAAUUGGUUCAUUGUGGUGGUCAACUUGGCAAUUGCUUGCCAAUGAUCAUGCAAUUGUUUAUGCAAGUGAAUCUCAUUUGGAUAACCUUAAGGAACAUUUGCUCUACUUUUCCAUGCUGAUGAAGUAUCUGCCAUUUCAUCUAGAAUCUCACAAGCUUGCAUAUACAAAGUUGUUAUGAAAUUUCCACCAGCAAGUUUGUGGACCACACAUUGAUUGGUAGUAUUGAUCCCCCUAUAGAAAGUUUGUUGAAUCAUUGCCUCCAUCAUGUCAUUUAUUGGACACUAUUUCACCAUAGUUCGGUACCUCUCCCAUAUCUCAUGCAAAGGCUCAUUGGUUCUUGUUUGAGAGCUAGAAUCUCGUCCCUAAGAUUAGCCAUAUGCCCGUGAGAAAAUAACUUGGAAAUACUUUUUUUCGAAAAUUCAUCCCAUGUAUGGAUAGAAUGGUUUGGUAAUAUUUCUAACCAAUCCAAGGCCUUCCCUUAUACUGAGAGAGGAAAUAACCUCAAUCGUAAAGCAUCGUUGGAGACGUUUGUCUUUUUACUCCCCCAACAAGCUUCUACAAACCCGUUGACGUGUUUGUAUGUAUUUAGAUUCGGAGCCCCGGUGAAGAAUCCCUACUGCUCUAACAAUGUGAGCAUAACAUUUAUGACUUGAAUGUUGCCCACCCAAAUGCGACGCGGGAUUAUGGCACUUGCAUACCCUUUAUUAGGCAACACCUGGUGUGGAGUCACUCUUGGUAGAAGUGGGGGUGGAACGGGAACAUUGUCUUGAGGCGGUUGACCUCGUCUAUUUGCUUGAAGUUCAAGAAGAAACUCUUUGACUAGGUCAUCUUCUACAUCUACAUCCCCCAUAAGCACGUUUCCAAGAGGACCAUUGUUUUUGAGAGCCAUUGUUUCACCUACAAUUGUUUCACCAAAAAGAUUAGUAACACGGAAGGAAAAGAAGACAAUUCACACACAAAUCCAAAUAUAUAGCUAAAUCCAUUUUUAUCUCCCCGGCAGUGGAGCCAAAAAUUGAUCUUGUCCAAGUCACACCUCUAUUCAAGGUUACAAAACGGUUGAUGCAAUAGUAAUACUCAACUAAGAGCCGGGGCCGAAUUCCAUAGGGAGCAAUAUGGAUGGGAUAAAGUAGUACAUAUUUGGACUAAGUGCGUGAAGUAUGUAGGUUGCACUUCCACAAAUAUGGUUUGUUUUACUUCUAAAAUUUUGCUAAGGAUUACAAGUCUAAAUAUAUAAAACUAGAGAAUGUCGUUUUUGGUUGUUUAUAAAAUAUAUAAAAAGGCUAAAUGGCUAUGAACUUCACCCCGGUGUUUACUUAAUGGGUUGUAAACAUUAAAGCUUAUUUUGCCGGUCGAGGAGUAUUAUAACUAUCAACACUCAAGUACCCACUUAAUACCUCUUGGUAAGAGAGUGAUUAUGCCCAAUUUGGAUUUGUUAAGUAUAAAUGGGUAUUGAACCAAACAGUUGAUAAAAUGCUCAACCUGGGUUUUACUAUCUCUAGGUUCAACCCUUUAGUUGGGACUAUCAAUCUCUUAAUUCAUCCAAAAUUCUUGUUAGACAAGUUUUCUUAGCCUAAGUCUCUCUUUCUCAAGUAGAGACCAAGUCAAAUAGGCAUGAACUAAUGUUAGUUCUAAAAUUAAAAGUAAGAACCAGGUAAAAUAAUUAACACCCAACCAUAAAUAAGCCAUAAAUCAAACACCCAUUAGGUUUAUAAACUAGGGAUGUGUCACAACCCUAGUUAAAAAUCUAGCAACUCACAAUAGUAUAGAAGAAAAUAAAGAAGAAAGAUGAUAAAACUCAAAUUGAAAGAUUAAAAGAUAAAAAUUCUAUCACCAAAGUAAGCUAAAGUUAACUAAAUCAGUAAGGAAAAUAGCGACAAGAGUUCCAAUGUUAAAAACUUGACCUAAUUUUGUGAAACUAGUCUAUUUAUAUAAAGCUGGAAAAUUCGAACAAAAUUUCCCUUUCGAAGGUUUUGCGGUCGUAUAAUUCAAUGUGCGGUCCGUACUUUUCAUAAUCUACAAUACGCACAAUUCCUGGUGCGACCACAUAGGGACCUUCUGCGAACCACACAAUUCUGAGUGCAGCCACAUGGCUAACUUCUAUAAGAACUGAAAUGAUGACUCUCAGAACUUUAGUUGUGGCAUAGCUUUUGCAGGCGCACAAUAAUUGUGCAUUCCACACUUUACACUUGGGCUCUGAUGGAAUUCCUUCACAUUCUGUAGCUACAGAUGAAAUUUUGUGGCCGUGGAUGGACUUCUGUGGCCGCAGAAGGAAUUCUACGGUCUGCACUUGAGGCUUUUUACCAAAUUUUUGUUCUUGAGUUCACAUUACUCCUUCCUGAGUUGGAUUUUAUCUUUGUGGCUCAAUUUCCAAUACUCCUACAAUUAAGCACAUUUCAUCAAUUUUUGAGAAUAUAAUUAAACACUUUCGGACUAAAACAAAAAUAAAUAUACACUAAUAAGUAGUCAAAAUCACAAUUUAUUAGGAAAAAUGUUAGUUUUAGAAUGACCCUUUCUAGUUUAAACUGUGUGCAGAUGGUGCAAUUCGAAGGUGUGUGCCUCAAGAAAAGAUGGCAAACAUUCUUUCUCAUUACCAUGAUAGAGCAGCUGGAGGACACUCUGGUGGAAACUGCACUGCAGUAAAGGUUAUGGAAGUCGGUUUCUAUUGGCCUACACUGUACAAAGACGCAUGAGCGCAUGUAGCUGCAUGUGAUAGCUGUGAAAGGACAGUAACAUUAGCAAGAGGGAUGACAUGCUACUCAACUCCAAUAUGGUAUGUAAAAUUUUGAUGUUUGGGUCAUUGACUUCAUGGGCCCCUUUCCAUCAUCUCAUUCAUAUGAGUAUAUCCUAGUAGACAUUGAAUACGUAUUUAAAUGGGUCAAAUUAAUUCCUACUAGGACCAAUAAUGCUCAGGUGGUGUGUGAGUUCUUAUGAAAGAACAUUUUUACCUUAUUUGGGACACCUCGAGUGAUUACCAGUGACAAGUAGUGGGGAAGUUGUGAACAAGAAAUUUGUUGCACUGCUAUCCAAGUAUGGGGUCACACAAAAAAUGGGAACCCCAUACCAUGCCCAAACUGGUGGGCGAGUUGAAGUGGACAACCCUGAAGUUAAACAAAUUCUUGAAAAGGCGAUUAAUGACUCUCGUAAGGAUUGGUUUAUAUAGUUGGAUGAAGCUCUAUGGGCAUACAGAAGUGCAUUCAAAACAACCAUAGGGACUUCACCGUGCAAAUUAGUGUGUGGAAAAUUGUGUCAUCUACCUAUUGAGAUAGAAUAUAAAGCUUAUUGGGAAAUUAAGAUGCUUAAUCUUGAUCUUAGUCUUGCAGGUGAACACAGGUUGCACAGACGAAUGAAUUGGAGGAUUUUAUUUGGACAUGUAUGGAAAUGUGCAGAUUUUCAAGGAAAAGACCAAAAGGUGGAAUGAUCGUCUGAUUAAGCCAAAGAAGUUUCAUGAAGGGGACAGAGUCUUACUAUACAAUAGUAGACUUAUGUUGUUCCCCAAAAAAUUCAAAUCAAGAUGGACAUGUCCGUAUGUGGUGAAACAUGUCUCACUGGAUGGCGCCUUUGAAAUACAGGAUGAAGAAGAGAAUGAAAGUUUCAACGUGAACGGGAGCAAGUUGAAGCAGUACCUUGUUGGAGGAUUUUGACUAGAAAUCCUCUAGUGUCAUUAUCAAAUGAGCCGAAGUGACGUAGUCACGCUUACGACUAUAACUUAGAACUACUUCAAACCUUUUUUUCUAUUUUGUUGUAGAAUAGCUAGAUAAUGGUAGUUUAGGAGUUUUUGAUAAUUUUUUGAACAUGUAUGAUUAAAAAUCAAACACAAAAUAAGUACAUAAUAGAGUUGGGGUGCGACCAGUAGGCUAACAAGUGAAACAAAAGAAUGGGACACCGAUAAAAUUAGCCUAUCGUGUCACAUAGGGCUCCGUGUGGGGCACUAAGUUAGGCCAAAUGGGCAAAUACUAUCAGAGAUGAUAACCCCACUACCGUGUCGCAUGGGGUUCCGCACCUAGAGAUGCGGCGGUGCAAAUUAUUUAUAAAAAAAUAAAACCUCUAACUGGAGACUAACACCCCCGACCCGUCCCUUUUUCUCACAACUCUCUUACUCUAAUAUUUCUCUCCUCUAUAUCUCUCUCUCACUCCAGAUCCCUCUUCUUUCCUCCAUUAUUUUUCCUCAAACUCUUCAUCUCUCCCCCCUCCCAUCUUUAUUCAUCAUCAAGGUAAGUAACUUUAUUUCUUCUUUUCUAUUUCUCUUAGCUUUUUUAUUUUUUUAGUUAAUUUUAUUUUAGUUUAAACUAAAUCCUAGGGAGUUGUAGUUGUGCUAAAUUUUUUUAGUUUCCUUGCUUACUAUAGCCGAAAAUGGUUCUUAACUUUUUGGGUUAGUUAUCAUUGUUCUUCUAAUUAUGGGUGAUUUUGUUAUGUUUUAAUAGUGUGGAAUUAAUUUAUGUUGAAUCUUAGUGGGGUGACCAUGUGGGAGAAAAUUAGCUUUUGUUUAAAAUUUGGGUACUUGGUGUUAUUGUAAAGAUGUGGUGAUGUUGUGGUUGUGGUGAGUUGUGUAUUGGAUAUGUUUGUAUGGUGAUUCUAACACACUUUGAAUUGCAAUAAGACAGUGCAAGAUAUACCCAUAAUGUGCUUGUUGAAAUUCCUUAGUGACAUAAAUUUGUGUAGUGUUGCUAAUUUAAGGGAAGUUCUUUGUGGGAUGUAAUGUUUGACGAUAAGUGUGGGGUAAGAUGUCAUGUUCUUUGUGGGCGUAUACCUCCCCCCCUCCCCGCCCUAGUGGACGAGGAAAAGGAGCGCAUUGAUGCCAUUACAGAUGUAGUCCUAAGCUACAAGUAUCAAUUUGGCUUGUACCAACUCAUGCUAGGAUGUGGUACCAGACCUUUGUUCUAGCAGUAACUCCCGACCCGGAAGUGGGCAUUAAUGAUGGUAAUCUAGUCAUGAAAUACUUGGGGAUUUACAACAACAUUAGAUACCUGGGUAUUGAAAGCUUGUUCUGUACCUGUGAGUCGGUAAACCUGAACAUGGUUGAGGAAUUCUAUGCUAACUGGCAACCUAAGACUAGUUUAGAUGCAGUAUAUUGAGGUACGAGACAAGAUGAUUUAAUUUUCUUCCUCGGUAAUAACUCAAAUCAAGGGAUUCACGAAGUAUUCUGAUGCGCCGGAGAAUCUUGACACAUUUCAAUACUAAUUGCUUAGAUUUUAGCUUGUUUUAAAUGCAAUUAUCUCCUUUACUUAUGUAAUUUUAGUGUUUUUGCAGUACAUGAGGUUUAAGAACUCAUAAGCAUGGAAAUGAAAGCAAAAAGUCAUAAAAACACAAGAAAAGAGCAAAAAGGCAUUGCAAAUAAGUACGUGCAAUCGCAAAAACCACAUGCGAGCCGCGAAAUUUACACUAAGAUCACAGAUAAAAACAAAGUUCUGGGAAAAGUUCAACUCAAGAAUGCGGUCCAUUAUGCGAUCGCAUAACCUUUUUGAGAGCCGCAAAUUGGACCGCAAACCAACCACGAAGGCUGCUGAAAGCAAAAAAUGCGAUGCAAAAUGUGGACUAAAAACCAUGAAUAUAGUGAAGGCCUGGAAACUAGGGUUACAAUCUGAGAUGGACAGGUAAAAAAUGCGUACGAUAUAUCUAUUAUGCGAUAGAAAUGCGGUCGCAUAUCAAUCUGUAAAGGCAUUUUUGUUCGAUUUUUGGCCCUCCAAAAAUAGACUUAUUGGGGUUUUGUGGGCUUAUCUUGUCUGACUUUGAAGCUACAAUACAAGGCAUUAAUAUUUCUCAACUCAUUUGUGGGCUUAGCAUGUGUAGCUAACUUUAAAUACUAAGGUUGUGAACACUAAAUGGGUGUAAUUUUAAUGGGGGUUUAACACUGAAUAUAUAUAUAUAUAAUAGUUGGUUGAUAUUUAUUUACUUCUCAUUCUUUAUUUAUUGUUGAUGGUUGCAAACAUUAACAAGUGCCAUUAAUUCUUACUUUGCUAGGAAAAGUGGGUUGGAAUAUGGUAGAAGUAAACAUCAAAGACUCAAGGCUUUAAGCCUUGUUUAAUUGAAUAUCUUAGGAAGAAGUGAGUUUUAUUUGGCAUAUAAUGAUUGUUCUUAAUUUCAACUCUUUUAUAUUAGGAAAAAUCAUAAAGAGAAAAUACUACCCAACUUUUGGAAAAUAUUAGGUAGUCAUUUAGACAUCAUUUGCAUAUCAAAAUGACCUUCCAUUAGAAAUAUAUCUUACUAACAUUGAUAGCAUUACACUUAAUUUAAAUGGUACACAACCUUGGUUACUUUAAUCAAAUUAAUUACACUCUCAACAUUUUAGCUGUUACUUCAAAUAAAACUCAACUCAUACUAUUGUUAUCAUUAACUGGAUAGAAUUAUGACUUUAGUCGAGUAACACACUAUUUGAGUAACCUUUUCUCACCUAUUCCCUAUGGUAUUCAACCCCAACCUUGUUGGGUUAUUAUAUUUGACACCGACCGCUUUACACUAUUGAUUAAAAUGUAGUUUGAGCAUAUCGAAUUUUGGCGCCAUUUCCAGGGAUUACGGUUUUGAAAUUACUAAUUAGUGUGCGCUUUACGUUACGUCUUACUCUAUACCAUCACACUUUUAUUGCUUUGCUUUGUGUUGAUAGGAAAACAUGUCCAAAUAUGAUGAUGACAUAGAGGUAUAAAUGUGAGAAAAUCCUUUUGAGGACAUCGAAGAGUACAUUGAGGAUACGAAUGCUAAUGUACCUCCGACUAUUGGCACUGCAACUUUCAAGGUGGAACAUGGUUUAAUCCUUAUGCCCAAAACGGAGGGGUUUUUAGGAAUUUUACUGAUGCUGAUCCGACACAAUAUCUUAGAAACUUCUUGGGUGUGUGUGUGUGAUGCAUAAGCAAAACAAUGUCUUUGAUGAUGCGCUAAGGUUGAGAUGCUUCAAGUAUUCUCUAGCAGGGGAUGCAAGGAAAUGGCUUCAAAAUCUGCCACCGAACUCCAUUCAUUCUUUGCCCGAACUUGUUCGAGCAUUCUUGUCUAAAUGGUUCCCGCAAAGUAAGCAGUCUCAGCUCCGGGAUAAAAUAUUAUUUUUCAAGGAAGCAGCAGGAGAACAUCUACAUGAGGCAUGGGAACAUUUAAAAUUAUAUUUGGUGAGGUCUCCCAAUCAUAGUUUUCCAGAUUCUAUCUUGGAAAAAUUCAAUAUGGGCUUGGAUCUUAUGAACCAAUCUAUAGCCAAGAAUGCAGCUGCUGGAUCUUUCAUGGAGAAAUCAUUCGCAAGGGUGACAUAAAUACUUGAAAAAAUGGCAAAGCAUAAUCAAGAAUGUCAUUCCAAGGACACCACAUGUGGAAUUACUUAUGUGUCUCCUUUCUUGAGCAACAUGAUCAAGGAAAAUCAAGAGAGAGAUCAGGUGAUUGCUGGACUUGCUAAAAAUAUCAAUAUGCUGAUAAAGAUGUUCAUCGAAAGCCAAACUAAGAAAGUAAAUGUAGUUGCGGAUGUGCAACCCAUAUCAUAUGAGGAUUUUGAGGAAGCGAAUUAUGUCAACAACUCUCAAGGAAGCUAUCAAAGGCAACAAUACCAAGGUCAAGGACAACAAAACCAAUGAAGUCAAAACCCACAAAGGCAAGGCCACCAACAAUGGUGAGAUAUUCAAGGUUGCUCAAGCCAAGAGAUUUGGAACAACAACAACAACUACUACUCAAAUCGGAGUUCAAACCCUUAUGUUCCCCCUAAGGGUCAAUAUUCAAAUCAGGGUUCCUCAAGUGAGUCUAAGUUGGAAAGUAUGCUUGAACAGGUAUUGUAAAAUUAAGAAAAAUCUAACAUCUCUAUGAGUUACAUGACCGAGCUUGGAAACUCUCAUACCGAAUCCAUUCAAAAAUUAGAGAUGCAAAUGAGAGGCCUCUCUACGGAACAAAACUCAAAGAAAAAGGGAACACUCCCUAGUGACACAAUUGUGAACCCAAAGGGUGGUUAGAGUAGCCCAACUUCUCAUGUCAUGGCAUUACUACUAGGAAUGGGAAGGUACUACAAGGAGAGGGGCAAACAAGUGAUUGAGGUAGAAGAGUUCGAGAAAGGGGUUGAGGAUGAAGAGCCAAUUAUUGUCGAAGUUGAGAAGAUUCCGGAAGAUGUGCAAGUGCAAAAAGAGAACCGGGAACAGGUAAAGGAAAAGGUAAAAGAGACACCAAAACCUCUUCCACCUAUUCCUACACAUCCUCCUCUAUUACCUCAAAGGCUUUAAAGAAGAGUCCAUGAUCGCAAACUCGAGAAGUUGUAUGACAUUCUCAAGAAAUUAUUGGUGAAUAUCCCAUUUGUGGAAGCAUUUCAAGAGAUGUUGGGCUUUGCUAAGUAUUUGAAAGAUUUGAUCACUAAGAAUAAAACCACCAAAAAUGAAGUGGUGAAUGUGACUCACUAGUUUAGUUCCAUCAUUCCAACAUCACCCGUUCAAAAGAAAGAAGACCCAUGAGACUUUACCAUUCCUUGUACCAUCGGGGCACAUGAUUUUGCAAGAGCCCUUUAUGAUAAUGGAGCUAGCAUCAACUUGAUGCCUCUUGUCAUUUACAAGAAAGCGGGAUUGGGUAUGCCAAGGCCCACAAGUAUGAUAUUGCAAAUGGUCGAUCGUUCCAUCAAACGCCCGGUGGGAAUUGUUCAUGAUGUACUCGUGAAGGUGGGAAAAUUUCAUUUACCCGCUGACUUCCUAAUCUUGAAUAUGCGGUUGAAAAAGAGAUCCCUAUCGUCUUGGGGAGACCAUUCCUUGUCAUGGGAAGAGCACUCAUGGAUACGGAACAAAAUGAGAUUAAAUUUCGUGUGAAUGAUGAAGAGGUUACAUUGUAAGUAAGUAAGGGUAUCAAACUACGCAUGAGUAUGAAGGCAUCUCAGUGAUUGAUGUUGUUGAUGAAGUAGGGUAUGCGUUUGAAAUGAAAAUGGAAGAACAAUGCCUCGGCGAAGCAUUGGCAGCUAUUUUGGUGAACAUUAAUUUUGAGCAUAUGGAGGGAUAUAUGGAAUCGGUAAAUGCUGGAGGGACAUGGUUCUUACACUUAUGCUCCGAUAAAGCUCUCUCUCAACUUGGGGAAUAGAGCCACACCUCCCGAAAAUCCAACUUUAUUGAGCCACCACAACUAUAGCAAAAACCACUUCCAGCGCACUUGACGUAUAAAUUCCUUGGCUCAAAUGAUACUUUACUAGCAGUCGUCUCUUCUUUGUUGAAUGAUGUGCAGGUAGAAUGAUUGUUGGAAGUCUUGAAGGAGCAUAGGCAAGCCAUUGGAUGGACAAUUGAGGACAUCCAUAGGAUUCUCGCAGGAAUUUGCGAGCAUAAAAUCCAAUUGGAAAACAUCAAUGAUAGUUGAAUCCGUCAAUGCAAGAGGUUGUAACGAAAGAAAUCAUCAAAUGGUUGGAUGCCAGGGUAGUCUACCCCAUUGCUGAUAGUUCUUGGGUGAGCCUAGUGCAAUGUGUGCUUAAACGGGGGUAUCUUCCUUUCGAGCUCAUGUGUGAUGCCAGUGGUGUAGCUAUUGGGACAAUGCUUGGCCAAAGUCACAACAAGGUUCUCCACCCGGUCUACUAUGCAAGAAAAACACCCAAUGGGGCACAAAUGAAUUACACAGUAAAAGAGAAAGAACUUCUUGCCAUUUUCUAUGCCUUUGAGAAUUUCCAGUCUUAUUUGUUGGGAUCCAAGGUGAUAGUGUAUACAGAUCAUGCAUCUCUUUGCUAUCUCAUGGAAAAUAAGGAUGCAAAGCCUUGGUUGAUUCGAUGGGUCUUGUUGUUGCAUGAGUUUGACAUUGACAUUAAGGAUCGUAAGGGUACUCAAAAUCAAGUGGCAGAUCAUUUGUCAACACUUGGAGAGGCAGGGAGACCAAAUGGAGAUCUUGAAAUCAAUGAUGGAUUCCCGGAUGAACACAUAUUGGCACUAUCUAGCACUUUUGCUCCUUGUUAUACCAAUAUUGCUAACUAUUUAGUUAGUGACCUUAUCUUGGAAGGAUUGGAAUCCUACCAAAAGAAGAAGUUUUUGUGAGAUUGCCGGCAAUAAAAUUGGGAGGAACCAUUCUUGUUCCGUGUUUGUGCUGACAAUAUUAUUAGAAGAUGUGUUCUGGAAGAAGAGGUUAUGCCAAUUCUAAAGGCAUACCAUGACUCACCAGUUGGGGGUCAUCAUGGAGGAAAUCGAACGGCAGCUAAGGUUCCUGAAUGUGGUUACUAUUGGCCUUCAAUCUAUCAAGAUUCCAAUCAAAUUUUCAAGUCUUGUGAUCAAUGUCAAAGACAAGUUUCAAUCUCCAAGAGGCAUGAAGUGCCAAUGCACUUUGUGAUGGAGAUAGAGACCUUCGACGUUUGGAGAAUUGAUUUUAUGGGUCCCUUUGUAAGCUCUUUCCGGAUGAAAUAUAUUUUUUGAAGCGAUUGCCUUACCAAACAACAAGGCAAGGAGUGUGACCACAUUUUUUAAGAAGAACAUUUUCACUCGGUUUGGAACUCCUAGAGCCAUUCUUAGUGAUGGUGGGCCUCAUUUCUAUAACAAGGCUUUCACGGGGAUACUUGAGAAGUAUGGAAUCAAGCACAAGGUAGCCACACCUUAUCAUCCACAAUCAAGUGGUCAAGUAGAGGUUUCCAACCGGGAGAUCAAGAGUAUUCUAGAAAAGACUAUUAAUGCAAACAAGAAUGACUGGUCAAGGAAGCUAGAUGACAUAUUGUGGGCAUACCUCACGGCAUAUAAGACUCCUAUUGGUACUUCUGCUAAUCGGUUAGUCUUCGGCAAAGCUUGUCAUUUAUCUGUGCAAUUGGAGCACAAGGCCAUGUGGUCGUUAAAAAGGUUGAACUUGGACUGGGCUGAAGCAGCAAAUUUGAGGUUAACACAACUCAACGAAAUGGAGGAAUUCCGUUUCCAUGCUUAUGAAAGUGCAGUUGUGUACAAAGAAAGAAUGAAGUUCAUCUAUAACAAGAAGAUUUUGAAAAAAGAGUUCCAUGUCAGGUGACAUGGUAUUGCUCUUUAACUCAAGGCUCAAAUUGUUUUUGGGUGGGCUCAAAUCAAAAUGGUCUGGUCCAUUCAAAGUGGUCAAUGUCUCUCGUUUUUGAGUUGUGGAACUAGCAUCGGAAGAUGGCCUCCAGACAUUCAAAGUAAAUGGCCAACGUAUCAAGAAAUACUUGGGCACAGAUGGAGAAAAAUAGUUGGUGGAGCCGUUGACUCUCAAAUAUGGUCUGUGUCCGACCAUUGAGUGAAUCCAAAGCAACACCAACUUCGUCGUGCCGCAACGUUAAAUCAAGCAUUUCAUGGGAGGCAACCCAUGCGUGGUAACACUCUUUACUUUUUUAAUAGAUAGAUUUACUAGAGCAAUUUAAAGUGUGUUUAGAGUGCAGGGGAUUCAAAAUAUCAUAACACUUGGUAGGAAUCCAUGAGAAAGGGAAGAAAAACCAGUGUGUGAAGUUUGCUGCAAAAAUGCGAUCGUCUUUUCACUGUACGGACCGCAUUUUGGUCGCAAACCAAACAGUAAGUUUGGGUAAGAUUGUUAAUCAAAACCCGACGGGGUGGUGCACUCUGUAUAUUGCAUUUCACUUAUGUGACCACAUUGUGCACCGUAUUUGUUACCCUUUAGCAAGCCAAGUGAACCCACCGCAUAACACUUAUGUGGUCACAUAAUGUGUUAUGCGGUGCCCUUCCAAUCGCAAAGUUGAUAGGUAAUUGGUCGCAUUCUCUCAUCUCUCUCACAUUCAAUAUAAUAAUAAUAAUAAUAAUAAUAAUAAUAAUAAUAAUAAUAAUAAUAAUAAUAAUACAUAUAAAGAAAACAAAAGAAACAAAACGAAAAGAGAAGAAAACAAAGACUGAAAAAGGAGCGGGCAAACACGGCUCGUGAUCAAAUCCUUCAAACGACAAAAAUCCAUUCACAAUCUCCAUAGUGUUUACACUCAGCCUCACUGGUAUGUUCCCUUUCCCUAAUUUUCCAGUUCAAGGUUCAUGUUUGUCUCUACUUUGUUUUUUUCUAUUUUUGUUCUUUAUAUUGUGAUUGUGUGGUUGCUUUUCAUAGUUGUUUUUUCAUAGCAUAGUUAUUUCGGGGUAAUACAUCUAGGGUAAUGGGUAGAAAAAAAUAGGACCACCAUUGUUGAAGUGAUGAAGUUAAUCAUGAGGACGAAAGCAUUGGCGGCCCGCAAAGUCAAAAUGUGGUACACAUUUUGGUCGCAUAAUUGAACCCUAGUCUUAUGAUGAUGGUGGUGAAAUGUGGUGACUUUUGCGAUCGCAUAAUUGAUAUGCAUAACCCAAAGUCACCGCAAACUGAAAAAGACCACCCAGUUGAGCCCUUGCUAUUUUGCAAUUGCAUUUCACACUUUGCGGUGGUGUUUGCGAUCACAUUUUGUUUUCUUACUUUGUGAGCAAAUCAGUUCUGCGAUGGUUAUGCGGUACGCAAAGUGUUUAUGCGAUCGCAUAACCCAUUGCAGACUGAGAUCCAGUUGUACACCAUCAAGAUUGCGAUCUGUUUUCGGUACGCAUAGUGGUUAUGCGACGGCAAACCACAUCGCAUAUUUGAAUUCUUCUUUGAAAUAUUUUGUUUCUUUUCACUGUUAUUUAUAAGGUCGCUCGCAUUUCACCUUUUUAUAGAUAUGGAUCCCAAGAAGCAUACAACCUCUACCCAAUAAGGGCAUCCUCCAGUCGUGACACAUUACAGGUGAAAUUAUCACAGACAUACUCUAAUAUGCCCUGCCCUUCCCAUUUUGCUGAAGAGGAGCUCAUGCGCAGUUAAUUUACAGGCUAAGGCAAAGAGGAAACACAGAGAUGACUUUUGCCUCCAAUUUGGGGUUGAGGGAUCCUGGGAACUGUAUAGAGCAAAGCUCAUCAAACGAAAAAUCCUAGGUGAGAAGCAAUUGAGCUUGAAUGGGCUACAAAAACAGUACCCUUACAUGUUGGAGACAUAAAACUGAGAAAAUGGGAAUGCUUCACUGAGCCACCUACAGAAUAUAAUGAGCCCCUUGUUCGUGAAUUUUAUGCAUCAUAUAUAGGCUCCAGGGCUGCACAUCACAAAUGCAAUAGAAUAUUUUGUAACAUAGUACUUGUUCGGGGGAAGAGUGUGUUUUGCAACAGUGAGGCCAUUAAUGAGCUAUACUUCCCUGGCUGCAGAGUAGGCACUGCCGAGUACGAUGCCAAAUAUGCAAAUAGGGUGAAUGGGCGUGGUUUGAUUGCUCCAAGGGAACACCAGCUUGGAUCAACCAUGGGUAGAAUAUAUACAAGGAGGAUCUCACAAGAGAGGUUCGAUUCUAGCUCAGAUUUGUUACUUCUCGAUUAAUACUGUCUGAGAAAGAAAUGGGCAUAGGCAUUGAUGAGGCUCCCCUUAUUGAAUAUAUCAUGGUGAGCAUCAAGAUCCAUGUUGGUUCUCUGAUAAUUCAAGAGAUAGGGAUCCCAGAAAAGCAGCAUGCCACUUCGCUUCCUUUCCCUUGAUUGAUCACAUCUCUCUAUAAAGUUGUGAAGGUCCCUCUCAUGCAACAAUCUAACAGGACUGGGAAGGAUACGAGGGACAUUAAUAUCACUCGUAUUAGUGAUGUUGUCGCCCCACCAGAAUUUCAUAUUAAGGAUCCCAUUGAUAUAGAGCCUUUCGAUUCUAAGACUUUUAUGACUCCUCGGGUUACUAUGGCAUCCUUUUCUGCCUCAAAGCCUUCCCCUUAGUCCAUUACUGUUAAGCCUUCUAUGGCAUUACCUACCAUCUCGAGGCUUAGUCUUAUUGCUCAGCAUGGCAGUGCCAAAGUUUACUAGCUUUAAAAGACCCUUCCAACCUAUUCAAACAAGCCCUGACACCGAUACAAUCUUCACUGAUAGCUCCCCAACAACAACAAACAGUGUAUGGGGAUCACUUGCAGCAGCUUGAGUUACCGGUUGAGAAGGUAGAGCACGACAAAGUCAGUGGUUUCCUCAGCUUAGGGAGGAGGUUUAUUCAAUGAAGACCGGACUCCACAAGAUGCAGACUUUGGAGUUCGAUCUAUCAAGCCUCCUGCCCAAGGAUGGUGAGCAGGGUGCACAGUAGCACUGGAUAUGAGCCUUGAUUUCUCCACACUUAUGACUGAUAUUGCCCCUCCGACUGCCGGCAUUCCGAGCUUACAACUCCUCCUAACCGUGUUGUGAUCCUUUCUGAGGAGGAUUCUGAACGUUCUACUGAGUCCGAGGAUGAGUAGGCAGAUGCGGGUGAAGAUGAAGAAAGUUCAUGGUUCGAGGAGGAUGAUGUCCCUUGGGAGAAAGGCAAGCAGAUUACUAUUCCUAGAGUUCAGGAAGUAGAUCAAGCAGAUCUUGAGACAGCAAUCAAACGUUUUCUAGAAGAUUUGGCCGCCCUCCACAUCCAUCAGCCACUCAGCCAUCAGUAGGCCCAGGUAGCAGCUCACAGGUCCCAGCUCUAGUUCUAGACCAGCCAGAGAUCCCUCCUCCAUCAGUGGAGAUCACUCAUCAGGUCGAGCUCUCAGCAGUCCUAGCUUCAGCACUAGAGGGUGACCCCACCAUCACUCAACCAACUACCGACUCUGAUAGCGCUUAUUCUCUCUAUUCUUAUGUAUUGGGGACAAGCUCUUAGUUGGGGGUGGGUGGUAGCAUUGUAUAUACUUUUGUGACAUCUGAAAUUGUCGUACAUAUUUAUAUUUUUGUGUUAUAAAAAAACUUAUGUACUCAUGUAUAUUUUGUGUUAUAUAUCUUAGUAUGAUUUCCGUACAUAAGUUGUGUUGUGUAGUUCAUGAUCGUGUAUAUAUUAGUGUUUUGUGAUUUCAGUGCAUAAGCUAUGUGUGCCUGUAUAAAAGAUAAAAAAAGUAGAUAGUACUUCGUAAUGUAUUCCCCUUGGUUUUUCUUCUCCAGGUUCUUUUCCUAGGGUGUAAUAGUAGAACUAGGACAGUAGAAUGAAUCAUAUUGACCAUUUUGGUGUAAUUUCCUAGUCUCAAGCAUGUCUUUCCGUAUAUAGCAUAUACCCUUCCAUAUAUAUUAAAAAGGAGAUCAACUGUGUGAAUUUGAGGCUCGCUCUGUGAAACUAUGUCUACCUAGAGUUAUACUUGUAUAUAUGAUGAAAGCUUUGAGUUUCCAAGUGUUGACUCGUGGGCUUCAAACUAUGUGAGCCAAAAAGUUGUGUGCCAUGUGUGUGAGUUCUUUGUGUAAAUAAUUCUUUUGUUUAUUUUUACCAUCUAGAACUUGCCCGGUUGGUCUUUCAAAGCUACUGGAAGUAUGUUUGGUUGGAGAGAUGAUCUUAGGCAUUCUUUAUUUUUAGUUGCAAAACCUCUUUAGCCUUUCAAGCCUACAUGUGCAUAAAUAAUAUCACUAGUACCCUAUUAGAGCCUUUAAACCUUUUCUUUGGCCAACUCAUUACAAACCUUUCCCCUUUUGUAAAAUAAUGCCUCUUUUGAACCCGUCCCUCCUUGAACAUUGAGAAUAAGGCUAAAAGCCAAAAAUAGGGGGUUGGUGUCAAAGUGGAAAUUGGUAAGAUUGUACAUUGAGUAGAGAAUCAUAUACCUCAAAGUGUGUGCAUGAAAUUAUUCAAACUCCAAAAUAUAUACUUGUAUAUUAAAAAAAGAAAAAAAAGAGAGAGAAACAAUCGUAUGUAUAUAAAUUAUGGAACCUUGAAGAAAAUCAUAGAGGUAUUUAAGGUGGUUCUAUAUUGGAAACUAGGUGCCAAUGAGGCUAUGUGGGUUGAAGAGAAACGAAGUGAAAAAGGAAUGGCAAAUAUGAUUAGUGUUCAAGGAGGAUGAAGUCACAUGUAUCCAAAUGCUUAUCCUUCCCUUCCUUAACCCUACAUUACAAGCUCAAAAGUUCUCUUUGGGACCUCCAACCGAAUAUUCUUGGAUAAGCGAUGAAUUAAAAUAAGGGCAACCUAUGGUAUGGUAUAUUGUAACACAUGAAAUUUUUUACCGUGAGUGAGUGUCCUUGUCAAUUCGUCCUUUUUUGUUGUAAUUGUACAUAUUGUGAUUUUUGGACAUUAUUUCUAGUGAGGGCACAUGAACUGUAAGGUAGAACACAAGUUGGGUUGUUGAGUCAAAUGCAAGUGCAUUCAGCUGAGGGUAGUAUUUUGUCACAUUGUUUGAGGCUUAAGGUUCUCAAGUUGAUUAGUUUUCCUUGUAUAUAUUAUUGUUCGAGAGGGGUAAUACAAUCGAAGAUGCAUGCUUGAAGUACUAGCAACAAACACACCCCAUGGUCAUUCUUGGUUCAUGUUUUGUAGAUAUAGUCUAGAAUAUGAUAGUGUUGUUUUAGUUGCAUGAGGACAAGCAAGAGUUUAAGUUGGGGGUGUGAUAUGCUCGAGAAUUUCCGCACAUUUCAAUACUAAUUGCUUAGAUUUUAGCUUGUUUUAAAUGCAAUUAUGUCCUUUACUUGUGUAAUUUUAGUGUUUUUGCAGUACAUGAGGUGUAAGAACCCAAAAGUAUGGAAAUGAAAGCAAAAAAUCCACAAAAAGACAAGAAAAUAGCAAAAAGGCAUCGUAUAUGAGGAUGUGGGAUUGCAAAAUCCACACGUGAGCCACAAAAUUUACACUGUUACCGCAUAUCAAAAUAGAGUUCUAGGAAAAGUUCAACGUCAAGAAUGCGGUCCAUUAUGAGAUCGCAUAACCUUUUUGCUAGCCGCAAAUUUGACCGCAAACCAACAAUGAAGGCUGAUAAAGGCAAAAAAUGAAAUGCAAAAUGCGGUUGCAUUUGUACAAUGCGGACCAUAAACCAUGAAUACGGUGAAGGCCUGGAAACUAUGGUUACAAUCUGCGAUGGACAUGUCAAAAAUGCGGAUAGAAUGUCUGCUACGCGACAUAAAUGCGGUCCCAUAUUCAACCUAAAAGGGCAUUUUUGUUCGAUUUUUAUCCCUCUAUAAAUAGAUUUAUUAGGGUUUUGUGGGCUCAUCUUGUCUGACUUUGAAGCUACAGUACGAGCCAUUAAUAUUCUUCUUUUUUAGAAGCUUUCUGGUCAAGAAUCAUUCACUCUAUAAGCUUUAUGGCAUUAAAUAUUCUCUUCCUUUUGUAUUUUAGCAUGUGUAGCUAACUUUAAAUACUAAGGUUGCGAACCCUUAAUGUGUGUAAUGUUAAUGGGUGUUUUACAUUGAAUAUAUAUAUAAUGGUUGGUUGAUAUUUAUUUACUUCUCAUUCUUCAUUUAUUGUUGGUGUUUGUAAACAUCACAAGUGCCAUUGGUUGGAAUAUAGUAGAAGUAAAUAUAAAAGACUCAAGGCUUUAAACCUUGUUUAAUAGAAUCACUUAGUAAUAAGCGUAUUUUAUUUGGUAUAUAUUGAUUGUUCUUAAUUUCAACUCUUUUAUAUUUGGAAAAAUCAUAAAAACGAAAUACUGGCCAACUAUUGAAAAAUAUUGGGUAGUCAUUUAGACAUAAUUUUCAUAUCAAAAUGACCUUCUAUUAGAAAUAUAUCCUAUUAACACCGAGCAUUACACUUCAUUAAAAGGGGCAAAACCUUGGUUACUUUAGUCAAAUUGAUUAUACUCUCAACAUUUUAACUGUUACUUCAAACCUCUACUCAUACUCUUGUUACCAUUAAUUUAUACUGUUAUUACUGUAACUAGAUAGAACUAUGAAUUUAGUCGAGCAACACACUAAUUGGGUAACCUUUUUACACCUAUUCCAUGUGGGAUCCGACCCUAACCUUGUUGGAUUAUUGUAUUUGACACUGACCACCUUACACUAUUUAUUAAAGUGUAAUUUGAAGGUAUCACAUUCACAUAAGUUGUUCAUGAUGUUGUUGCAUCAGCCCUUCUAUCCUGAUAUUAUAUGCCAGUUGUGUGGGCGUAAGGUCUCUUGAAAUUUAGACGUGAGAUGCUAAUGAGUUCCACAAGGACACGAAGAAGUUCCAUUUCAUACAUCCCACCAAAGUCACUCUCCGCUUAAUUAAUGCAAAGAUUAUGCCUACCCAGAACGACACUGAUGUCUCCCAAUUAUAGGUGUGUCUCAUUUAUGCUAUCCUAACUCCAAUGAAGUUGGUCUAGGUAAGAUUAUGCUUUAGCACAUGCCUUGAGUAUGACCACUUGGGACCCUCUGAAUGCUUUUCUGAGUGUGAUUCUGCAGCUUCUGAGGAUCUACCAUGUGGAUGAGGAGUUCCAUUAUGAUCGGACGAUUCUAGUUUUGUUUCAUCUUAAGCCUUUUGAUGUCAUAGCCAUGAUAGACCCCUCAUUACACUGCUAUUGUUGUUCCUGUAGAUUAGACAUUUGCUUGUGUUAGGGAGACACUAUAGGUGUUAUUUGCUGAUAUGUGCCAUCGCGUUACUCAAAGGGAGAUUGACUUGACAGAGCUGCAAGAGGACCACCCCCUCUCCGUGGUCACGCAGUAGUGGUUGCGCUUUGCAGAUAGAGUACAAAUGCCGCAGGAUGACGACGCAAACUAUAUUCCCUCUGAUGAUGAAGAGUACAUGUGAACCUUUGAUGGUGUUGAUGAAGCGUAGUCCACAGGCCUUGGGGACUUAUCUUUUCACUCUUGUUUUACGAUUUUCCAUUGGGGACAAUGUAAUUUCUUAGGUGUGGGGUGGGGUGCUCAUAUUUAAUUUUAUUUUAUUUGUUUUCUAUUUGCAUGUUAGUUUUGUUUGAUUUAUUUCUUUCUUUCUCAGACAAUAUGGUCUAUAAUCAUAACCCUGAAUUUCAUCGGCCUGUAAUAGUUAGUAAUUAAUUGUUUGGUUUCAACUCUUCCCGGCAAUGGAUUUCGUCGUCUGGCUUCUUAAGGGAUUUGAAGUUGAACGAGAAAAAUACAAAAACAAAGUUAAAAAUUUUAAAAUCCAAAAACAUGUCUUUUAUUUUAUUUUAUUUUCUUAGGGUAGUGUAAUAAUUCUCCUUUAGUUCUGCUUUGUGUCGUGGUUUUUUUUCAAGGGUUUUAGUUGAAUCAAGUGUAGUUAACUUUUUAUUUUUAUUUAUAGGAAUAAAGAAUCUCGAUUCAUAGUGCUAAUUUGAAGCAAUUUUCUUUGAAUGCAUAUGCUUUGAAAGUGGUAAGUGCCUUAGUUGUGACGCUUAGGCCCAGUUUUUUACUAUUAGAUAAGUGCCUUAAAUUGUGUGAUUGUGACCUUGCUUAACUUCUUUGACUAGAGAGUUGUGAAGGAUCUGAUCCUGAGUGAGUUAUGUGCCAAUAUAUGCGUGAGGCAUUCAUUGAUAUUCUAUGUAUGUAAGUUAAUGACUAGAACUUGCCCUGUGUGUUUGCAAAGUGAAAUAGCAGUCUUGUUCAGUCCAGGAAGUGAUAUAGGUAUUUUUUGUUGAGUCAAAUAUAUGCUUUUGCUCACCUAAUUAAUGCUUAUUUUGUUAGCCCAUUUGAGCUUGUAAUCUAUUUCUUUAGCAACCACUACAAGUCUGACCCCUUUGUUAAUUGACUUUCUGUUUGAACCUUUUAUCUCUCAUGAGCACUUAAAUUUGUUAAGAGCAUGUAAAUCCUAAGUGGAGGUAUGGUUGGAUUUUGAGUGAAACUAUAGAACAUGAUAAGGAUUCAUUGUUUGAAAAAAAUUAUCAGAUCCACUUGUAGGGAACUGAAAAAAAA
RNAcentral lists this long non-coding RNA (40369 nucleotides) under Nicotiana benthamiana. RNAcentral's name for it is "long non-coding RNA (NBEN_LNC018042)". The record is from RNAcentral. Lineage: Eukaryota; Viridiplantae; Streptophyta; Magnoliopsida; Solanales; Solanaceae.